UACGUAGGUGGCAAGCGUUGUCCGGAAUUAUUGGGCGUAAAGCGCGCGCAGGUGGUUUCUUAAGUCUGGUGUGAAAGCCCACGGCUCAACCGUGGAGGGUCAUUGGAAACUGGGGAACUUGAGUGCAGAAGAGGAAAGUGGAAUUCCAAGUGUAGCGGUGAAAUGCGUAGAGAUUUGGAGGAACACCAGUGGCGAAGGCGACUUUCUGGUCUGUAACUGACACUGAGGCGCGAAAGCGUGGGGAGCGAACAGG
This 253-nucleotide ribosomal RNA is filed under the name uncultured bacterium. Its description in RNAcentral is "partial 16S ribosomal RNA". It matches the Rfam family "Bacterial small subunit ribosomal RNA", at positions 524 to 776 of the family's 1533-position model. The record is from RNAcentral.